Molecule: ribosomal RNA, 1357 nt
Filed under: Psychroflexus aestuariivivens
Lineage: Bacteria; Pseudomonadati; Bacteroidota; Flavobacteriia; Flavobacteriales; Flavobacteriaceae
Description: bacterial SSU rRNA
Rfam family: Bacterial small subunit ribosomal RNA
Source: RNAcentral
UCUUGCUGACGACCGGCGCACGGGUGCGUAACGCGUAUACAAUCUACCUAUUACUAAGAGAUAGCCCAGAGAAAUUUGGAUUAAUAUUUUAUGGUAUUACGAUUUGGCAUCAGGUUGUAAUUAAAGGUUACGGUAAUAGAUGAGUAUGCGUCCUAUUAGCUAGAUGGUAAGGUAACGGCUUACCAUGGCGACGANNGUAGGGGUCCUGAGAGGGAGAUCCCCCACACUGGUACUGAGACACGGACCAGACUCCUACGGGAGGCAGCAGUGAGGAAUAUUGGACAAUGGGAGCAAUCCUGAUCCAGCCAUGCCGCGUGCAGGAAGACUGCCCUAUGGGUUGUAAACUGCUUUUAUACAGGAAGAAAAAGGUGUACGAGUACACUGUUGACGGUACUGUACGAAUAAGGAUCGGCUAACUCCGUGCCAGCAGCCGCGGUAAUACGGAGGAUCCAAGCGUUAUCCGGAAUCAUUGGGUUUAAAGGGUCCGUAGGCGGGAUGAUAAGUCAGUGGUGAAAGUCUGCAGCUUAACUGUAGAAUUGCCAUUGAUACUGUUGUUCUUGAGUGCUUGUGAAGUGGUUAGAAUGAGUAGUGUAGCGGUGAAAUGCAUAGAUAUUACUCAGAAUACCGAUUGCGAAGGCAGAUCACUAACAAUACACUGACGCUGAUGGACGAAAGCGUAGGUAGCGAACAGGAUUAGAUACCCUGGUAGUCUACGCCGUAAACGAUGGUUACUAGCUGUUCGGACUAAUUGAGGUCUGAGUGGCUAAGCGAAAGUGAUAAGUAACCCACCUGGGGAGUACGUUCGCAAGAAUGAAACUCAAAGGAAUUGACGGGGGCCCGCACNAGCGGUGGAGCAUGUGGUUUAAUUCGAUGAUACGCGAGGAACCUUACCAGGGCUUAAAUGCAUUUUGACAGGGGUGGAAACAUCUUUUCCUUCGGGCAAAUUGCAAGGUGCUGCAUGGUUGUCGUCAGCUCGUGCCGUGAGGUGUCAGGUUAAGUCCUAUAACGAGCGCAACCCCUUUGGUUAGUUGCCAGCGAGUAAUGUCGGGAACUCUAGCCAUACUGCCAGUGUAAACUGAGAGGAAGGUGGGGAUGACGUCAAAUCAUCACGGCCCUUACGUCCUGGGCUACACACGUGCUACAAUGGUAGGGACAGAGAGCAGCCACUGGGUGACCAGGAGCGAAUCUACAAACCCUAUCACAGUUCGGAUCGCAGUCUGCAACUCGACUGCGUGAAGCUGGAAUCGCUAGUAAUCGCAUAUCAGCCAUGAUGCGGUGAAUACGUUCCCGGGCCUUGUACACACCGCCCGUCAAGCCAUGGAAGCUGGGAGUACCUGAAGUCGGUCGCCGCAAGGAG